RNAcentral lists this ribosomal RNA (253 nucleotides) under uncultured bacterium. RNAcentral describes it as "partial 16S ribosomal RNA". It matches the Rfam family "Bacterial small subunit ribosomal RNA", at positions 524 to 776 of the family's 1533-position model. The record is from RNAcentral.
UACAGAGGGUGCAAGCGUUAAUCGGAAUUACUGGGCGUAAAGCGCGCGUAGGCGGUAUGUUAAGUCGGAUGUGAAAUCCCUGGGCUCAACCCAGGCAUUGCAUCCGAUACUGGCACACUAGAGUGUGGGAGAGGAAGGUAGAAUUCCAGGUGUAGCGGUGAAAUGCGUAGAGAUCUGGAGGAAUACCGAUGGCGAAGGCAGCCUUCUGGCCUAACACUGACGCUGAGGUGCGAAAGCAUGGGGAGCAAACAGG